GACGGAGGAUGCAAGUGUUAUCCGGAAUCACUGGGCGUAAAGCGUCUGUAGGUGGUUCGAAAAGUCCACUGUUAAAAAUUGAGGCUUAACUUCAAAGAUGCCGUGGAAACUUUCAAACUAGAGUAUGGUAGGGGUAGAGGGAAUUUCCAGUGGAGCGGUGAAAUGCGUAGAUAUUGGAAAGACCACCGAUGGCGAAGGCACUCUACUGGGCCGAUACUGACGCUGAGGAGCGAAAGCGUGGGGAGCGAACAGG
Molecule: ribosomal RNA, 253 nt
Filed under: uncultured bacterium
Lineage: Bacteria
Description: partial 16S ribosomal RNA
Rfam family: Bacterial small subunit ribosomal RNA
Source: RNAcentral